Long non-coding RNA from Cyprinus carpio (common carp), 736 nucleotides. RefSeq lists it as uncharacterized. The transcript has 3 exons. The record is from RefSeq and is a predicted model, not a curated record. Lineage: Eukaryota; Metazoa; Chordata; Actinopteri; Cypriniformes; Cyprinidae.
AAAAAGUGGAGGUGUGGUGUUUCAUUCUGUCACUGCUAAGCUUCUCAAAACGUUUCCUUCACACUGCCUCCUCUAAGGUUGAAACUGGAGCUAAAGAAGCUGUACUUCAUAGUUCACGUACAUAACUAACAGUAAGAGGAAGUCUGGAUGGGAAGUCAUCUCGAAUAAAGUUGUGACAAUGACAUGUGACAUCUAUGUGAAAGGACACUAGAACUUCUGUCACUACAUCAACUGAAAGAGUAAUUAUCAGAGUGUUGAUCACCAGCCACUUUCUACUCGAGCAAACGCACCAAACUUAUUUGGUUAUUAAAUAGCUUUGGAUCUCUGGUCACCCUGUGGAGUUUUGGACCCUUCUUCCCUCAAGAUCAAGUCUGGGUGAGUCUAGAUGUGUGCAAACGAGCUAAAAGAAGUUAAAGUUGAGGAUGCUUUACUUGAACAGCCUGAGCCGAGGGCUGACUCGCACCGCAUCACCUGUCAUGACAUCUGUAAGGACGCAGACCAUCGUAAACUUGCCAUUUGCAGCAUCAUAUGUGGCCUCUCCUGCUUUGGAAUAAUGUCCCUCAAGUACUCUGUCAAGCUAUUCAAAUACACUCAGCUGAGAUCUGUUGCCAGUAACAGAUACUGCUGGCAAACAUGAGACACAAUGAAACCUAAAGGCAGUCAGUGAUGAAAGAAACGUAUGCAUGCACUAACAUAAUCUAAGAAUCUAAUAAAAAAAAAUAAAAAAGGAAAUCGA